UCGGGAAUUUUGGGCAAUGGGCGAAAGCCUGACCCAGCAACGCCGCGUGCGGGAUGAAGUAUUUCGGUAUGUAAACCUCGAAAGAAUGGGAAGAAUAAAUGACGGUACCAUUUUUAAGCUCCGGCUAACUACGUGCCAGCAGCCGCGGUAAUACGUAGGGAGCAAGCGUUGUUCGGACUUACUGGGCGUAAAGGGCGCGUAGGCGGCGCGGUAAGUCACUUGUGAAAUCUCUGAGCUUAACUCAGAACGGCCAAGUGAUACUGCUGAGCUAGAGUGCGGAAGAGGCAACCGGAAUUCUUGGUGUAUCGGUGAGAUGCGUAGAUAUCAAGAGGAACACCUGGGGCGAAGGCGGGUUGCUGGGCCGACACUGACGCUGAUGCGCGAAAGCCAGGGGAGCAAACG
This 402-nucleotide ribosomal RNA is filed under the name uncultured bacterium. RNAcentral describes it as "bacterial SSU rRNA". It matches the Rfam family "Bacterial small subunit ribosomal RNA", at positions 355 to 774 of the family's 1533-position model. The record is from RNAcentral.